Molecule: non-coding RNA, 74 nt
Organism: Taeniopygia guttata (zebra finch)
Lineage: Eukaryota; Metazoa; Chordata; Aves; Passeriformes; Estrildidae
Source: Rfam
ACCACAUUAGCUCAACUGGUCAGAGCAUGGUGCUAACAACACCAAGGGCACAGGUUAGAUCCCUAUAUGGGCUA